UACGGGGGGAGCAAGCGUUGUUCGGAUUUCCUGGGCGUAAAGGGCGCGUAGGCGGCGCAACAAGUCACUUGUGAAAUCUCCGGGCUUAACCCGGAGCGGCCAAGUGAUACUGUCGUGCUAGAGUGCGGAAGGGGCUACUGGAAUUCUCGGUGUAGCGGUGAAAUGCGUAGAUAUCGAGAGGAACACCUGCGGCGAAGGCGGGUAGCUGGGCCGACACUGACGCUGAUGCGCGAAAGCCAGGGGAGCGAACGGG
RNAcentral lists this ribosomal RNA (253 nucleotides) under uncultured bacterium. Its description in RNAcentral is "partial 16S ribosomal RNA". It matches the Rfam family "Bacterial small subunit ribosomal RNA", at positions 524 to 776 of the family's 1533-position model. The record is from RNAcentral.